Non-coding RNA from Acanthosepion pharaonis, 111 nucleotides. NCBI's taxonomy places the organism in Eukaryota, Metazoa, Mollusca, Cephalopoda, Sepiida, Sepiidae. The record is from the annotation of a GenBank genome assembly.
GGUUAAAUCAGGCUGAAAACACCUGCUUCCGUUCAAUCACCGAAGCUAAGCAGCGUUGAACCCGAUCAGUAUUUAGAUGGGGGACAACUUGGGAACACUGGGUACUGUAAG